This 510-nucleotide ribosomal RNA is filed under the name uncultured bacterium. RNAcentral's name for it is "partial 16S ribosomal RNA". It matches the Rfam family "Bacterial small subunit ribosomal RNA", at positions 355 to 874 of the family's 1533-position model. The record is from RNAcentral.
UGGGGAAUAUUGCACAAUGGGCGAAAGCCUGAUGCAGCAACGCCGCGUGCGGGAUGACGGCCUUCGGGUUGUAAACCGCUUUCAGCAGGGACGAAGGUUUUCUGACGGUACCUGCAGAAGAAGCACCGGCUAACUACGUGCCAGCAGCCGCGGUGAUACGUAGGGUGCGAGCGUUGUCCGGAAUUAUUGGGCGUAAAGAGCUUGUAGGCGGUCCGUUGCGUCGGAAGUGAAAACUCAGGGCUUAACCCUGAGCCUGCUUUCGAUACGGGCGGACUUGAGGGAUGUAGGGGAGAACGGAAUUCCUGGUGGAGCGGUGGAAUGCGCAGAUAUCAGGAGGAACACCAGUGGCGAAGGCGGUUCUCUGGACAUUUCCUGACGCUGAGAAGCGAAAGCGUGGGGAGCAAAUCAGGCUUAGAUACCCUGGUAGUCCACGCCGUAAACGGUGGGCACUAGGUGUGGGACCCAUUCCACGGGUUCCGUGCCGUAGCUAACGCAUUAAGUGCCCCGCCU